Molecule: long non-coding RNA, 2699 nt
Organism: Equus asinus (donkey)
Lineage: Eukaryota; Metazoa; Chordata; Mammalia; Perissodactyla; Equidae
Source: Ensembl
AGGAGCAGUGAAGUAGUUCACUUUUGCUAACAGCACUGUGCUUUAAAUGGAGGGAGUCAAGUCUUCCACACUCUCCCUAAUUGGCCCCCUCACUUUUUCCUUUUUACUGCUGUCUCCUCUUCCUCCAACAGAAAAGGAAGAGAGCAAAGUAGGUAACAAUCCAAAAGGAGCAACUCUCAAGAAGAGGCAAGAGAUGGUUUAACUCAUUCUAAAUCUUUAUUCUGCAGCAGUAAGGAGAGUAGUUCCGUAGAUGGUCUACCAUGAGGUUCAGGAACUAAAGACCCCCAUCAAUGCACAAAAGGAUCAGAGUUCCAGUUCCACUGCACAGAUUGGAGAAUAUGUGAAUAUUGCCCAGCAGAAACUGAAAUCAACUUUCCACAUUUACAUUUUACAGUAGAUAAUGCCUUCCGAACCCUUUAAAAAUGUAUCAAUGUGCGUUGAAGCUCCCUAAAUACUGAUUCAAUAUUUCUAAUGUAAGACUAGGACCACAAUUAUGGCUUCUUGCAUAUAAUGUAAAAAAUUCCACAGCAAAUUUAAUAGACACUUCAGUUUCCAAAGUGACACCAUCAUUUGUGUGUGUGUGCGCCCUGGCUGGCAAUACUGUUGAAUGUGCAUUCCCAAUACACAUGUAAAUGGUGAACUGAACAAAAUAUACUGUUAGGUGAGGGAAUCUUGACAGUUUAAUGCUGUAUGUUACAAAUUUCUGAAAGAACAAAUUUCGUCUAUUGGAAAAAGAUAUCUUCUUCAUAUGACUUACAAUGUCAUGAUCAGAGCAGUCCUUUUAUUUUUCUUAUAAGUCAGAAAAUAAAAUAAACUCCAAUAAGACAGAAAAUUGAGCAACUGUGUCAAGGGCAGCCCUUCCCUUUAGUUCUAUAGCAAAGCGAGGCAAGUGGAGAGAUCAAGUGAGGAAGUGUAAAUCAUUCAUGGGCCUGAUGUGUAGCUUUUCUUGCUAACCAGAUUCAUUUUCCUAAAUGGUGUUUGGGAUUAGAUGUAUGUGGGUCAGUAAUACUCUGUGAGGGAUGCUAUACUUGCAGAGUCCGGGGCUAAUUAGCUCAGACCAUGACUCAGCACGAACAUCUCUCUUCUACAAUUGCAUCCAUCUGUGGCUGAAGAGCUGCGCUAAUCAGGAAGCUACCCCAACCAGCAAAGAUCAGAACAACUGAAAAAAGGGUAUUCACAAUAAAAAGUCAAAGUUUAAUCUAGAAAGUUGGCAGCUGGAGGAGAUCAACACAAACAGGUUAGUAAGAGAAAAAUCUGAGAGAAUGAGAGAUGAAGGGCUUUUUCUCUGGAUACACACAUUUCUUAGGCAAAGGAAAAGCUUAUAGAGGGUGUUGAAAGGCCAGGACUCAUGCAGUAUCAUCAUAAAGCACAUAUGUUUUCCCCACACCUGUUGAAAUCUGCUCUAUGGGGAUAGAUUUCUUCCACUCCAGAGUAAAAUCUCCACCUAGUCCCAAAGCUUAUUUGCUCACUCUUAGACCGCAAGAAACCCCCACGCCAUUUUGGUAAAAAAAAAAAAAAGUUUCAGUUCUGUAGUUAAUAUUUCCAGUCCAGUAUAAUAAUCAAACGUCUGAAGUUAUUCAAAGAUACUUUCUCCUCUCACUCAAGUCUGGUGCUGUCUGGAAAUGGGAAAGCGAGGAGGAAGACAGGCUCAACUUUUCUGAUGUUUCCAGCCUCUUAAGGGGAGGGAAAGAUCCCAUUGUGCUAUCACUGGUGUGAGUAGCUACACUGUUUAGUGGGACUGGAAUAUGUAUAAAGCGGAUUUUUUUUAUUUUGUGGAGCACUCCAUCCCUAGGGAGCUGUUCUCAAUAGGGCAGAGGUACGAGAGAAGAAACUGCCACCCUUCCUCCAUGCUGGCAAGGAAGGUUGAAAUUCUCUUUGUCUCCAAUACAACUCUUUUAUAACCCCAGGUGUCUGGGGCCAAGGGACACAAAAAAGAUUUUAGACACCACUUUGCACAGUGUGAAUAGAAGGCCUUGCACCUCAAUUUGGGCUGUGGGUGUAUUUCUCAUGUAUUGUUAUGAGGCAAGCAGCCCCUAAGGAGGACACUGCAGUCAGAAAUGCCAAUUCCAAAAUUACUUGUCACCUUACUGCCUGACUUUGCUUAUAGAUCAUUCUUAACAUACAGACCCUUUCCCCGUGACUACACAGUGCCAUUGAUUACAUUCAUUUCACUUUAGAUAUUUCUGUUUCUAGCCUCUGUUCCAGCACUGCAGUGAUGAAUUCAAGUUCCCUCUGUGCUCUGCAAAAUGCCUGCAGCAAACAGCUCAUCAAGAGAAUCCUACAGAAAUGCCUCUACAGCUGGGGUCAGAGUGGCUUUUGAGACCUUCUUUAACUCAGAGGGAGAGAGCAAAACAAAUUCUUUCAAGCUGAUUAUUACCUGGAAGAUUCUCCCACUGUAAGGUUGUUUCUUAUCUUCUUCUACGAGACGUCGCCCUUCUGAAAGAACCCUGCAUCUGUAAUAUGGUUCAUGGAUCCGGGCUGUUCUGCAUCAAAGCCAUCAAAGGCACUUUGAAUCUGGAGGGAGCACGUUACAGAAGAAAGAGAAACAUGAGCUGCAGUUGUUGUUAGACCUUGAGUGCAUUUCCAGUUCUGACCUUCACAAGCUCUCAUGGAGUGCCAAGCAGUGCUAUGUCUGCACCUGGGAUCCGAACUGGUGAACCCCGGGCCGCGGAGAAGCGGCACGUGUGAAUUUAACUGCU